ACAAAGUAGGGACAGAAGGAGAGGAAUGUGAGCAUCGACUGCAGACUGAUGGCUCGUGAUGCAACACAAAACUGACACAAAAAGGCCUUUCUGUUGCCAAACAUCUGUAGCAUUAGAUCAUCCACCUAAAAUAAGAAUACGCAGACUUCCUGAAUUUUCCACGCAGAAGAAAGACGUCAUUCACCAAAACCAAAAUGAGAUGCCCCUCAAUCUACAGCGACCACAGCACCAAGGAAUAUACAGUACAUGGCAUACAGCAAACAUGGUGGGGGGAUUUAUUUAUAGAAAUUAAGCUGGGCUUUGCAGGAUGGAUUAAUGUUUUCUUUUGCUUGACCGGGGGAGAGUCAAUCAGGAGAUUUGGUAUGACUGUUCCGGCCUGGGACGCAACAACAUCUCUAAAAUCCUCCGUACAAGUGAACACAAAGACACGCAAGGGUCCAACAGCAAAACAACCAAAUAAAUCCCACACAUAUCUCUAAGCACUGAUACAUCAUAGCAUCUCUCACAGCUCUGCCACUGAACACAAGUGAUGACAUGUCAAAAAAGUCUGAUAGCUAUAUCUGUGGAUAAAAACACUGUAGUUAUGUGACCCGUCUUUGACAUCAUCAUGGGAUUCCUGAUGUGUUCCUAUUUAAACUGAAUAUUAUUCACCCAUGAAUGGUAUACCAGCAGCGAAUAUUGUAACAGUGUGUUUUACAUACAGCUGAACAGUCAAUGUUUAUGUCAAGCAGGUUACGUUUGGAUUCAUACUGCUACAUUUCAAACAUUUACCCACCCAUUUAUUCAACCUUUUCCUACUUUUGCCUGACUAUCCCGACCACUUAUCCAUUAUUUUAAGCUUACUAUUUCAAGCAUUUAUCAAUUACUUUUAGGUAAUUAUUUCAAGCAUUUAUUAAUUAUUUUGAGCUUACUAUUUCAACCAUUUACCCAUUAUUUUUUAGGUCAUUAUUUUACCCAUUUAUCAAUUAUUUUUAGGUAAUUAUUUCAACCAUUUAUUAAUUAUUUUGAGCUUACUAUUUUAACCAUUUAUCAGUUAUUUUUAGGUAAUUAUUGCAACCAUUUAUCAAUUAUUUUUAGGUAAUUAUUGCAACCAUUUAUCAAUUAUUUUUAGGUAAUUAUUUCAACCAUUUAUCAAUUAUUUUGAGCUAACUAUUUUAAGCAUUUAUCCAUUAUUUUUAGGUAACUAUUUCAAGCAUUUAUUAAUUAUUUUGGGCUUACUGUUUCAACAAUUUAUCAAUUAUUUUUAAGGUAACUAUUUUAACCAUUUAUCCAUUAUUCUGAGCUAUUUCACCCAUUUAUCAUUUAUUUUCAGCUAACUAUUACAAUUAUUAAUUAUUUUUAGGUAUCCUUUUCGAACCACUUAUCAAAUACUUUCAUCUAACUAUUUUAACCAUUAAUCCCAAGUAAUUUUUUUUUACUUUUGCAAACUAUUGAAACCGCUUAUCUUUUCCUUCCAGAUAACUACUUCAACCAUUUAAUCUAUUAUUUUUUUAUGUAACUGUUUUAAUGAUUUAUACUUUCGACUAGCUGUUCUAACCGCUUAUCAAUUACUUAUUGCUUACUAUUCCAACCAACUGUUUUAACUGUUUAUCCAUUACUUUUAGCUAACUGUCUCAACCAUUCAUCAGUUACUUAUUACUUUUUUUUUUUUUUUUUUUAUUA
This is a long non-coding RNA of Epinephelus moara (kelp grouper), 1662 nucleotides long. RefSeq lists it as uncharacterized. Lineage: Eukaryota; Metazoa; Chordata; Actinopteri; Perciformes; Serranidae. The transcript has 2 exons. The record is from RefSeq and is a predicted model, not a curated record.